UACUCCUACGGGAGGCAGCAGUGGGGAAUAUUGGACAAUGGGCGAAAGCCUGAUCCAGCCAUGCCGCGUGUGUGAAGAAGGUCUUCGGAUUGUAAAGCACUUUAAGUUGGGAGGAAGGGCAGUAAGUUAAUACCUUGCUGUUUUGACGUUACCGACAGAAUAAGCACCGGCUGACUUCGUGCCAGCAGCCGCGGUAAUACGAAGGGUGCAAGCGUUAAUCGGAAUGACUGGGCGUAAAGGGCGCGUAGGCGGUUGUUACAGUCAGAAGUGAAAUUCCUGGGCUCAACCUGGGGACUGCUUUUGAUACGUAGCGACUAGAGUAAGGAAGAGGGUUGUGGAAUUUCCAGUGUAGAGGUGAAAUUCGUAGAUAUUGGAAAGAACACCGGUGGCGAAGGCGGCAACCUGGUCCUUUAC
Molecule: ribosomal RNA, 414 nt
Filed under: uncultured bacterium
Lineage: Bacteria
Description: bacterial SSU rRNA
Rfam family: Bacterial small subunit ribosomal RNA
Source: RNAcentral